UGGACCAUUAAUGAUGUCUGGGGCAUGUGAGUCACGGAUGAUGAGUAAUAUGUGUGUGGAACUCGGGGUCAAC
Small nucleolar RNA from Balaenoptera musculus (blue whale), 73 nucleotides. The record is from Ensembl. NCBI's taxonomy places the organism in Eukaryota, Metazoa, Chordata, Mammalia, Artiodactyla, Balaenopteridae.